This 1578-nucleotide ribosomal RNA is filed under the name metagenome. RNAcentral describes it as "bacterial LSU rRNA". It matches the Rfam family "Bacterial large subunit ribosomal RNA", at positions 1422 to 2925 of the family's 2925-position model. The record is from RNAcentral.
CUUGAUACUAAGGGUCCUUAAGUCCCCCGCACGCACCCUUCGGGGUGUUUGGGGUGAGGCCGAACGCCUGACCUGAACUGGUAGUAGGUAAGCGAUGGGGUGACGCAGGAAGGUAGCCCAGCCCAGGCGAUGGUAGUCCUGGGGUAAGCAUGUAGGGAGGACCGUAGGCAAAUCCGCGGUCCAUUAAUCCUGAGAUGUGAUGCCGAGCCGAUUGUGGCGAAGUGGGUGAUCCUAUGCUGCCGAGAAAAGCCUCUAGUGAGUGUCGUGGCGGCCCGUACCCCAAACCGACUCAGGUGGUCAGGUAGAGAAUACCAAGGCGAUCGGGUGAACUGUGGUUAAGGAACUCGGCAAAUUGCCCCCGUAACUUCGGGAGAAGGGGGGCCUCCGCUGGUGAUCAGACUUGCUUUGUGAGCUGGUGGGGGUCGCAGUGGCCAGGGGGAAGCGACUGUUUACUAAAAACACAGGUCCGUGCGAAGUCGUAAGACGAUGUAUACGGACUGACGCCUGCCCGGUGCUGGAACGUUAAGGGGACCGGUUAGCGCACUUUCGGGUGUGCGAGGCUGAGAACUUAAGCGCCAGUAAACGGCGGUGGUAACUAUAACCAUCCUAAGGUAGCGAAAUUCCUUGUCGGGUAAGUUCCGACCCGCACGAAUGGCGUAACGACUUCCCCGCUGUCUCAACCGCAGACCCGGCGAAAUUGCACUACGAGUAAAGAUGCUCGUUACGCGCAGCAGGACGGAAAGACCCCGGGACCUUCACUACAGCUUGACAUUGGCGUUUGGAACGUCUUGUGUAGGAUAGGUGGGAGACGGUGAAGCUGUCACGCUAGUGGCGGUGGAGUCAUUGGUGAAAUACCACUCUGGUCGUUUUGAACGUCUAACUUCGGUCCGUGAUCCGGAUCAGGGACAGUGUCUGGUGGGUAGUUUAACUGGGGCGGUUGCCUCCUAAAGAGUAACGGAGGCGCCCAAAGGUUCCCUCAGCCUGGUUGGUAAUCAGGUGUCGAGUGUAAGUGCACAAGGGAGCUUGACUGUGAGACCGACGGGUCGAGCAGGAGCGAAAGCUGGGACUAGUGAUCCGGCGGUGGCAUGUGGAAGCGCCGUCGCUCAACGGCUAAAAGGUACCCCGGGGAUAACAGGCUGAUCUUCCCCAAGAGUCCAUAUCGACGGGAUGGUUUGGCACCUCGAUGUCGGCUCGUCGCAUCCUGGGGCUGGAGUAGGUCCCAAGGGUUGGGCUGUUCGCCCAUUAAAGCGGUACGCGAGCUGGGUUUAGAACGUCGCGAGACAGUUCGGUCCCUAUCCGCUGCGCGCGCAGGAGACUUGAAGGGAGCUGUCCCUAGUACGAGAGGACCGGGACGGACGAACCUCUGGUGUGCCAGUUGUUCCGCCAGGAGCAUGGCUGGUUGGCUACGUUCGGAAGGGAUAACCGCUGAAAGCAUCUAAGCGGGAAGCUCGCCUUGAGAUGAGGUCUCCCACCACGAAAGUGGGUAGGGCCCCCGGGAGACGACCGGGUUGAUAGGCCGGAGGUGGAAGCAUGGUAACGUGUGGAGCUGACCGGUACUAAUAGGCCGAGGACUUGACC